This 253-nucleotide ribosomal RNA is filed under the name uncultured bacterium. RNAcentral describes it as "partial 16S ribosomal RNA". It matches the Rfam family "Bacterial small subunit ribosomal RNA", at positions 524 to 776 of the family's 1533-position model. The record is from RNAcentral.
UACAGAGGCCCCGAGCGUUAAUCGGAAUCACUGGGCUUAAAGGGUGCGCAGGCGGACCGGAAAGUGUCCUGUGAAAUCCCCCGGCUCAACCGGGGAACAGCAGGGCAAACUGCCGGUCUUGAGACAGGUAGGGGUCGAUGGAACCAUGGGUGGAGCGGUGAAAUGCGUAGAUAUCCAUGGGAACGCCAAUGGCGAAGGCAGUCGACUGGGCCUGUUCUGACGCUCAGGCACGAAAGCGUGGGGAGCAAACAGG